AUAGAGGAUACCUUAGGCCUUCCUUAGGUAAUAUCUAAAGGGAAAAUAGUAAAAAGUAUAAUAUUAGUCUAUUCCUACGUACCUUUAGACCUAUAGAGUUAUGAGAGCGGCCGCGGGCCGCUAGUAGAGGGGGUCCGCCCCCCGAGCGAUACUAUCAAAUUGCGGGGACCUCCAGAUACCUACGCUACCAACCCGGGACCCAAAAGGGCGCCGGGGGCCGGGACCUAAUAGUUCCCGGGUACGGUAAUAGCGCGUAGGCCCUAGACGAUCCGUAGCUAAACCCGCCGCCCCCCUAGGGGCGCGGGUACAGUUCAACGACCAAAUAGUAGUAGGGUCCCCCCGGGGGCCCUAAGAUAUAGUCUACCGGAGAGCCUAACGGCCUCCGCUCGGAGAGAGCUCUUAAGGUAGCUAAAUACCUCGUUAUCUAAUUAGUAACGCGUAUGAAUAGAUUAACGAGAUUCCUACUGUCCCUAUCUACUAUCUAGCGAAACCACAGCCAAGGGAAUAGGCUUAGUAGAAUUAGUAGGGAAAGAAGACCCUAUUAAGCUUAACUCUAGUUUAAUAUUAUAAAAAGAUAUAGGGGGUAUAGAAUAGGUAGGAGCUUCGGCGCCGGUAAAAUACUACUACCCUUAUUAUUUUUUUACUUAUUUAAUUAAGUAGAACUAGACCUUACUAUCUAAUUUCUUAUAUUAAGGUCCUUCGCGGACCGAUCCGGGUUGAAGAUAUUAUUAGGUAGGGAGUUUAGCUAGAGCGGUAUAUCUAUUAAACUAUAACGCAGGUAUCCCAAGGGGGACUUAUAGAGAAUAGAAAUCUCUAGUAGAGUAAAAGGGCAAAAGUCCCCUUGAUUUUAAUUUUUAGUAUAAAUAUAAACUAUAAAAGUAUAGCCUAUCGAUCCUUUAGUCCCUCGGAAUUUGAGGCUAGAGGUACUAGAAAAGUUACUAUAGGGAUAACUAGCUUAUAGUAGCUAAGCGUUUAUAGCGAUAUUACUUUUUAAUCCUUUAAUAUUAGCUCUUCCUAUUAUAUCGAAGUAGAAUUCGGUAAGCGUUAGAUUAUUUACCUACUAAUAGGGAAUAUAAGCUAGGUUUAGACCGUUAUAAGAUAGGUUAGUUUUACCCUACUAAUAACCGUCGCCCUAAUAGUAAUUCCGCCUAGUACGAGAGGAACUACAGAUUUAGAUAAUUAGUUUUUACGACUAUCCGACUAGGUAGUACCGCGAAGCUACUAUCUACUAGAUUAUAGCUAAACGCCUUUAAGUUAGAAUCCAUACUAGAACGGGGUAAUUUACCCCUAUAUACUUUACUUAUAUACGAAUAGGCUUCGGCCCCGGACCUUAGU
Molecule: ribosomal RNA, 1335 nt
Filed under: Venturia inaequalis
Lineage: Eukaryota; Fungi; Ascomycota; Dothideomycetes; Venturiales; Venturiaceae
Description: eukaryotic LSU rRNA
Rfam family: Eukaryotic large subunit ribosomal RNA
Source: RNAcentral